Molecule: ribosomal RNA, 375 nt
Filed under: Triticum aestivum (bread wheat)
Lineage: Eukaryota; Viridiplantae; Streptophyta; Magnoliopsida; Poales; Poaceae
Description: partial small subunit ribosomal RNA
Source: RNAcentral
AUGUCUGGUAUCCAGUCCAGCAUCUCAUGUGGUCUUCAUUUCAUUGUUGCUUCCACCAUUUGGAGUCUUAAGUUAGAAAGGAAAGAACUCUAUUUCAAAAGCAAACUACAAAAAAACAGAAGGCAACAUCAGGGUCUCUGCAUUCAUAUUCUUCAGAAGCUACAAACAACAAAUUUGUUGACUAGCUCCAACAGUAGGCAUCAUAUGGCCAGUGUAGUGGCAAGAUGUCACCAUAGAGCUCAGCAAUGUACCCUCGACGCCGGCAGUGGCGUUUCUCCUAAGCAGGGACAUGACAUACUCCAUCACCCCGGCAUCACAAGGCAGUGUGAUCUUCCCAUCGCUUGCAAAGCCAAAUUCCUCCUGAGACAUCCUUAG